This is a non-coding RNA of Umbelopsis sp. AD052, 73 nucleotides long. Lineage: Eukaryota; Fungi; Mucoromycota; Umbelopsidomycetes; Umbelopsidales; Umbelopsidaceae. The record is from the annotation of a GenBank genome assembly.
GCGGGUUUAGCUCAGUUGGGAGAGCGUCAGACUGAAGAUCUGAAGGUCAUGUGUUCAAUCCACAUAACCCGCA